ACGGGGUGCAGCAGGCGCGAACACUUUACAAUGCGGGAAACCGCGAUAAGGGAACCCCGAGUGCCAGCAUCAAAUGUUGGCUGUCCAGAUGAUUAAAAAUCAUUUGUUAGCAAGGGCCGGGCAAGACCGGUGCCAGCCGCCGCGGUAACACCGGCGGCCCGAGUGGUAGCCGUUUUUAUUGGGUCUAAAGGGUCCGUAGCCGGCCUGAUAAGUCCUUUGGGAAAUCUGGCAGCUUAACUGUCAGGCUUCUGAGGGAUACUGUCAGGCUUGGGACCGGAAGAGGUAAGGGGUACUCCAGGGGUAGGAGUGAAAUCUUGUAAUCCCUGGGGGACCAUCUGUGGCGAAGGCGCCUUACCAGAACGGGUCCGACGGUGAGGGACGAAAGCUAGGGGAGCAAACCGGAUUAGAUACCCGGGUAGUCCUAGCUGUAAACGAUGCUCGCUAGGUGUCAGACACGGUGCGACCGUGUUUGGUGCCGCAGGGAAGCCGUUAAGCGAGCCACCUGGAAGUACGUCGCAAGGC
This 522-nucleotide ribosomal RNA is filed under the name uncultured archaeon. RNAcentral's name for it is "bacterial SSU rRNA". It matches the Rfam family "Archaeal small subunit ribosomal RNA", at positions 325 to 849 of the family's 1478-position model. The record is from RNAcentral.